Non-coding RNA from Salmo salar (Atlantic salmon), 567 nucleotides. The record is from RefSeq and is a predicted model, not a curated record. Lineage: Eukaryota; Metazoa; Chordata; Actinopteri; Salmoniformes; Salmonidae.
UUUUCAGUAGCACCAACUUAUUCCGAUUCAUUUUGAUAGACUACACACCGGUUGAUUCGUGCAUUAGUUUACAACAAGAGGAUUCCCCCUCUCAAAAUCGUGCACCAGGACGUCCGGUGGCUGGUGGUGUGGUCGGUUGGUGUGCAGGCAGGCAGGCAGGCAGGGCAGGAUAGGCUCCAGGCUGACCGUGUGUAGUAGUACAGUAGACUAGAAACUGCUGCAGGAGAGAUUACUAUUUUGGUACAAAGUCACAAUGAGUGCACGCGGUGAAGAAGCCGGGGGAGAGUUCAGGGACCGGGACCCAGGAGCAGGAGCCAGCGGCGGCUGCAGAGGCUCCGGCCAAGCGCAGACCGGGCAGACCGAGGAAGCCUGUUAAGGAACCUACUGGAGAGCCCGUCCCUAAACGACCAAGGGGUCGUCCCAGAGGCAGCAAGAACAAAUGCCCCUCCAAGGCAGCCGCCAGGAAAGCCCUGGCCUCUGGAGAGAAGAGACCUAGAGGCAGACCCAGGAAAUGGGUGAGUCACCUUUGACCCCAUUCCACCAAACACUGAGUGUGUGUGUGUGUGU